UUCGGUGUACUCAACUUUUGUAUGUUGAAAUAGUAAGGUGAAAAUGAUGUAAUGUAAAGAUGAUGUAAAUUACCUUUUGGUUAAAGGAAAUCGUGAUGUAAAUGGAUAUAAAUGAAUGUAAUAGACUACUUGUGUUUGAUUUAAAUGAAAUCAAAUGACAUGUAUAUUGGAUGAUUAGUUAGUUUCGAUGCUUUCACUGUGGUUGUUGUUUGCCCUCGUGUAAACCUUGUAUAUUUCGCAAUUCUCUUUUGACUUGCUUGUAAUAUACUUGUUGUUGAAGCCUUAGGCGGACAGGAAAGGUACUGUCCUUUCGGCGUCUGUCAUGUGCUCAAAUCCGACCAAAUUGGCGAAGCUCGGGGCGUGACAAUUUCAGUUUUCUUAGAUACUGUAGGAAUGGUUGUCCAAAUCAAUCACUCUUUAUUUGUAUGGUGUUAAUCGUCCUAAACAUGAAGGUAAAGUGUUUUCCUUUUUAUCAUUUCACAUGAAAAAAAUUAUUAAUAACUAAUUAUUUGAAUGG
This 517-nucleotide long non-coding RNA is filed under the name Ananas comosus (pineapple). RNAcentral's name for it is "long non-coding RNA (ACOM_LNC029682)". Lineage: Eukaryota; Viridiplantae; Streptophyta; Magnoliopsida; Poales; Bromeliaceae. The record is from RNAcentral.